GCUUCCCCAUGCUGCCGCCCGCGUCAAGAACAGCACGGACUAGCUUCUCACGAUUCUGCUCACAUCCCUUCACAGGAAAAAGAUACUCCCAGGAACUCAUUAACUCUAGAAAGAAAAAUCUUUUUGUUGGAUAGAAGAAAUACUGCCCCUAAAAUGGCAUUCCUGAGAAAUGGAAACAGUGCACGCAACACAUCACUUGGACAGAGAGAAGGCGUCACCAGAAAAUUAUGCUCUGUGUGCUGCAGGACUGAAGAUUUCCAAAGAACUGGAAAGCCUGGGCUUGGCAGCUCUACUUGGCAUUGAACCCAAGAGCAGAGAAGAAGGAGAUUACGCAAUGGUUUUUCUCCAAUCAGAAACACACAGAAGGAUCUUAGUUAUUCACCUCUCAUAUCUGCAUUGAGGAUAAACUCUGAGGACUAUCAUUUAUCCAAGGUCUUUGCAACGGAUCGAAAGGAAAGGACAAAACAGAGAUGCAAUCUUUUCAACUCUAGCUGAGUGAAGUGGACAGAGGGAAGUCUGUGGGCUUCCACUUGUGCCAGCACAGCAGAAGCCUGAGCUACUAGGAUCUUCCACUUCCAUAUACAGAGGAAGCUGCCCUCUCUUCCUUCCCUUUGUCUUUUCCAAAAAUAAUUAGAAGCACAAAGAUAAGGAGCAUAGUGUCCUUGCUUUGUUAAUCAGCCUGCUUUCUUUCCUAAACACUUUAUUUGAUGCCAUAACAAACUAACAUACAAGAAAUGUUUGUAGUUUCCAAUCCAGAGUGAAGAAUGUUCAGAGAGGUCCAGGCCAUGAGUCAUCCUCCCCCUGUUUUGGGAUAAAUAAACCUCUGACAAGGCAACUGUCCAAGUAGAGCACUUUACAGAUGCCAGGAAAACAGGCCAAAUCUUCAUUCAAGUGAAAGCCAACACUUAAGUCAGAUUUGUCCUACAUGGUCAACAAGAGGCCCAUGGCAUAUGUAGCCAAGGUCAUCUGCUUGUGGUCUUUAAUUGUUGUAUGAUAUGUUGGGAAUGAAAACCAGGGUUUUGUGCACAGUAGGCCCUUACCCUACCAUUACGGUAGCAAAGACCCUGGCACUUUGCUUUCCACACACAGAGCACUCACCCAUGUA
This is a long non-coding RNA of Mus musculus (house mouse), 1105 nucleotides long. RefSeq annotates it as RIKEN cDNA 4930444A19 gene. Lineage: Eukaryota; Metazoa; Chordata; Mammalia; Rodentia; Muridae. The record is from RefSeq and is marked validated. The transcript is spliced from 4 exons.